CCCGUCUUGGCCCAGCGGUAGGGCAUUGGACUUUUAAUCCAAAGGACGCGGGUUCGAUUCCCGCAGACGUCAC
RNAcentral lists this transfer RNA (73 nucleotides) under Virgisporangium aurantiacum. RNAcentral describes it as "tRNA-Lys". It matches the Rfam family "tRNA". From Rfam's summary of the family: Transfer RNA (tRNA) molecules are approximately 80 nucleotides in length. Their secondary structure includes four short double-helical elements and three loops (D, anti-codon, and T loops). Lineage: Bacteria; Bacillati; Actinomycetota; Actinomycetes; Micromonosporales; Micromonosporaceae. The record is from RNAcentral.